UGCAAGUCGAACGCACUGACGUCGACCGAAGCUGCUUGCAGUGGACGUUGAUUGACGUGAGUGGCGGACGGGUGAGUAACACGUGGGUAACCUACCCUUAAGUGGGGGAUAACAUUUGGAAACAGAUGCUAAUACCGCAUAACCAUUCAGACCACAUGGUCUGAAUGUAAAAGACGGCCUUUGGCUGUCACUUUUGGACGGACCCGCGGCGUAUUAGUUAGUUGGUAAGGUAACGGCUUACCAAGACAAUGAUACGUAGCCGACCUGAGAGGGUAAUCGGCCACAUUGGGACUGAGACACGGCCCAAACUCCUACGGGAGGCAGCAGUAGGGAAUCUUCCACAAUGGACGAAAGUCUGAUGGAGCAACGCCGCGUGAGUGAAGAAGGUUUUAGGAUCGUAAAACUCUGUUGUUGGAGAAGAACAGGGACUAGAGUAACUGUUAGUCCUUUGACGGUAUCCAACCAGAAAGCCACGGCUAACUACGUGCCAGCAGCCGCGGUAAUACGUAGGUGGCAAGCGUUGUCCGGAUUUAUUGGGCGUAAAGCGAGCGCAGGCGGUUUUUUAAGUCUGAUGUGAAAGCCUUCGGCUUAACCGAAGAAGUGCAUUAGAAACUGGGAAACUUGAGUGCAGAAGAGGACAGUGGAACUCCAUGUGUAGCGGUGAAAUGCGUAGAUAUAUGGAAGAACACCAGUGGCGAAGGCGGCUGUCUGGUCUGCUAAC
RNAcentral lists this ribosomal RNA (721 nucleotides) under Loigolactobacillus coryniformis. RNAcentral describes it as "bacterial SSU rRNA". It matches the Rfam family "Bacterial small subunit ribosomal RNA", at positions 56 to 740 of the family's 1533-position model. The record is from RNAcentral. Lineage: Bacteria; Bacillati; Bacillota; Bacilli; Lactobacillales; Lactobacillaceae.